RNAcentral lists this ribosomal RNA (250 nucleotides) under uncultured bacterium. RNAcentral's name for it is "partial 16S ribosomal RNA". It matches the Rfam family "Bacterial small subunit ribosomal RNA", at positions 8 to 269 of the family's 1533-position model. The record is from RNAcentral.
AGAGUUUGAUCAUGGCUCAGGAUGAACGCUGGCGGCGUGCCUAACACAUGCAAGUCGAGCGAACCCUUCGGGGUGAGCGGCGGACGGGUGAGUAACGCGUGGGUAACCUGCCCUGUACACACGGAUAAUAUACCGAAAGGUAUGCUAAUACGAGAUAAUAUGUAAUGAUCGCAUGGUCGAUACAUCAAAGCUCCGGCGGUACAGGAUGGACCCGCGUCUGAUUAGCUAGUUGGUGAGGUAAUGGCUCACC